ACACACACACACACACACACACACACAAACGUGUAUACUCCUUUUUAUGUUGCGUUAAACAUUUAAGUGUGUGUGUGUGUGUGUGUAGCGCUGGUGGAGGUGUAUCUCUCCUGUGAUUUGCUCUUUGUGGGGGAGAAUGGUUGGGGGAGAGGAGCCUGCACUGCUACACCUACUGAACACCUGCCACGAAUGGGCCAAUGGGUCUGCAGACGGUCUGUUAGCUGUUCCCUCGGCUCCUGCUCCGCUCCUGGCUGUGUGUUUAUACACUACGUUCCAAAAGCAGGGUGGUGACACUAAGCAUAUUACAGCAAACCUUCCACUAUCUGACCACAACCGAGAGGUGCUGGUUUACCUGCUGUUCUUCUAUUUAACAGACUUCCUCUCAGCGCACCUGAAACCCCAGGUUGAUAAGGUUUUGAAUCACUCCAAAGAUGUCAGCGUCCACCUUUUGACCCUGUUGGUAGAUUAUUUUGAUUGGCUUUCACUUUUCCACCAAUCACAAUCUGAGCACAUCAUCUACCGCUGCAUCGCCAAGCUGACCCCGGAUACACUCCUCCGACUGAUGCCUUUUGCCCUUUUCAGAUUCUGUGUAAAGGUCAGAAGAUCUUGCUAAAGAGCAUCAGUCUGAGUCGCCCUGGCGCUCUCUCUCACAGCCAGCAGAGCCAGGUACACACACCUGACACACCCCAGUCCCAGCUCCAUACACUCCACACAAGAAAUCUCAUCUGCACAAGUUAUUAGUUAAUUAGUUAUUAGCAC
RNAcentral lists this long non-coding RNA (759 nucleotides) under Astyanax mexicanus (Mexican tetra). Its description in RNAcentral is "lncRNA (ENSAMXG00005003046.1)". Lineage: Eukaryota; Metazoa; Chordata; Actinopteri; Characiformes; Acestrorhamphidae. The record is from RNAcentral.